GACCACCCGGAGACGGGUUAAGGCCAUACGGACAGCCGGGUCAACUGCCGA
This 51-nucleotide small RNA is filed under the name uncultured Lachnoclostridium sp. RNAcentral's name for it is "Streptococcus sRNA SpF59 (ldcC RNA)". It matches the Rfam family "Streptococcus sRNA SpF59 (ldcC RNA)". The record is from RNAcentral. Lineage: Bacteria; Bacillati; Bacillota; Clostridia; Lachnospirales; Lachnospiraceae.